UGUGUCCUACGGGAGGCAGCAGUAGGGAAUCUUCCACAAUGGACGAAAGUCUGAUGGAGCAACGCCGCGUGAGUGAAGAAGGGUUUCGGCUCGUAAAGCUCUGUUGGUAGUGAAGAAAGAUAGAGGUAGUAAAUGGCCUUUAUUUGACGGUAAUUACUUAGAAAGUCACGGCUAACUAAGUGCCAGCAGCCGCGGUAGUACGUAGGUGGCAAGCGUUGUCCGGAUUUAUUGGGCGUAAAGCGAGGGC
RNAcentral lists this ribosomal RNA (247 nucleotides) under uncultured bacterium. RNAcentral describes it as "partial 16S ribosomal RNA". It matches the Rfam family "Bacterial small subunit ribosomal RNA", at positions 333 to 572 of the family's 1533-position model. The record is from RNAcentral.